CGAACGCUGGCGGCGUACUUACCACAUGCACGUCGACCGGCAAGGCCCUGCUUUUGUGGGGUGCUCGAGUGGCGAACGGGUGAGUAACACGUGAGUAACCUGCCCUUGACUUUGGGAUAACUUCAGGAAACUGGGGCUAAUACCGGAUAGGAGCUCCUGCUGCAUGGUGGGGGUUGGAAAGUUUCGGCGGUUGGGGAUGGACUCGCGGCUUAUCAGCUUGUUGGUGGGGUAGUGGCUUACCAAGGCUUUGACGGGUAGCCGGCCUGAGAGGGUGACCGGCCACAUUGGGACUGAGAUACGGCCCAGACUCCUACGGGAGGCAGCAGUGGGGAAUAUUGCACAAUGGGCGGAAGCCUGAUGCAGCAACGCCGCGUGCGGGAUGACGGCCUUCGGGUUGUAAACCGCUUUCGCCUGUGACGAAGCGUGAGUGACGGUAAUGGGUAAAGAAGCACCGGCUAACUACGUG
Molecule: ribosomal RNA, 466 nt
Filed under: uncultured bacterium
Lineage: Bacteria
Description: partial 16S ribosomal RNA
Rfam family: Bacterial small subunit ribosomal RNA
Source: RNAcentral